Molecule: ribosomal RNA, 254 nt
Filed under: uncultured bacterium
Lineage: Bacteria
Description: partial 16S ribosomal RNA
Rfam family: Bacterial small subunit ribosomal RNA
Source: RNAcentral
UACAGAGGGGGCAAGCGUUAUUCGGAAUUAUUGGGCGUAAAGGGCGCGUAGGCGGCUUGGCAAGUGGAUGGUGAAAUCCCUCGGCUUAACCGAGGAACUGCCGUCCAAACUGCUUGGCUUGAGACCGGGAGAGGUGAGUGGAAUUCCCAGUGUAGCGGUGAAAUGCGUAGAUAUUGGGAGGAACACCAGUGGCGAAGGCGGCUCACUGGACCGGUACUGACGCUGAGUGCGCGAAAGCGUGGGGAGCAAACGGG